This 559-nucleotide long non-coding RNA is filed under the name Trifolium pratense (red clover). RNAcentral's name for it is "long non-coding RNA (TPRA_LNC007552)". Lineage: Eukaryota; Viridiplantae; Streptophyta; Magnoliopsida; Fabales; Fabaceae. The record is from RNAcentral.
GGACUGGGCAAUGGGCCUAAAGGCAAAAUCAAAUUAGCCCAAUUAAUAUAAGAAAGGAAACAGGCCCAAAACAAUUGAAUUCCAAACGCCCAUUUGGCGAUACAAGGCCUAGGCGAGGUGGGUAAUGACGGACGACGCCCAUAAGACGGAUUUGCAUAUGACAAUAAAAUAUCUUCAUCCUUCCCUGUCUUAGCGAUUAACUUGGGAACGAAGAAACCAACUCCUUGAAACCGCCAUGGCUUGAAGAUCAAGGUUUUAUUCCUACUUUCACGCUGCAUCACCGGAAAAGGCGCUGAAGACCGGAUUUGUAGGAACCCUAGCUUGGAGAAGAAGGCUUUAAUGGUCUAUAAAUAGUUUGAUACUUUCAUCUGUAAAGAAGGAUCGAAUUCUGACUUAUUAAACUCCCAGGGUUGUUGGGAUUGAACUGAGUGUAAUCACACCAUUUGAUCAAUAAUACAAACCCCCUCGUUUUUUACCAGAACACUACCGAUAAGAACCAAAGAAAUAAAUUGACCAAAUUGAAAUGUAAAACACUUAAGAAUUUAAAUGUCGACAAUGU